UCCGAAAGGAUAGCUAAUACCGCAUACGACCUGAGGGUGAAAGCGGGGGAUCGCAAGACCUCGCGCGAUAGGAGCGGCCGAUAUCGGAUUAGCUAGUUGGUGAGGUAAAGGCUCACCAAGGCGACGAUCCGUAGCUGGUCUGAGAGGACGACCAGCCCCACUGGAACUGAGACACGGCCCAGACUCCUACGGGAGGCAGCAGUGGGGAAUUUUGGACAAUGGGGGCAACCCUGAUCCAGCCAUUCCGCGUGAGUGAAGAAGGCCUUCGGGUUGUAAAGCUCUUUCGGCAGGAACGAAACGGUUAUCCCUAAUACGGACUACUAAUGACGGUCCCUGA
RNAcentral lists this ribosomal RNA (337 nucleotides) under uncultured bacterium. RNAcentral's name for it is "bacterial SSU rRNA". It matches the Rfam family "Bacterial small subunit ribosomal RNA", at positions 150 to 482 of the family's 1533-position model. The record is from RNAcentral.